This is a long non-coding RNA of Felis catus (domestic cat), 3218 nucleotides long. RefSeq lists it as uncharacterized. The record is from RefSeq and is a predicted model, not a curated record. The transcript has 13 exons. NCBI's taxonomy places the organism in Eukaryota, Metazoa, Chordata, Mammalia, Carnivora, Felidae.
CACAUCCUCUCUAGUAUCUAUAGUAUCUGAAUUUGUUCAUUUUAGCUACUCUGACUGGCAUGAGGUGCUAUCUCACUGGAAAUCCUUCUGGGAGAUAUGAUUUGUGGGAAUGCUUCCUGGUGGUAAAUAAUGGUGUGGGGAGUAGUUAAACAUGACUACAUUUCACCAUGGUCCACAAAGGCCUAGAUCAAAUGCCCAAGGGAUGUGCAAGUCCCAGAGGGAUGAGCUGUGCUUGAGAAAACAGCUUUUACCUCACAGGGCCAAGCUGGUUACUUCCUUUGGGGUGGCCCGAUAUAGGUGGGUUUGUGCUAGUAAAUUUAAUUUGUUUGUUGGAUGCUCUGUGGUGAAGAUAAGGUUAGAGGAAAGUGAGAUGAAGGAAGUAACUAGAGCCACCUGUAAAUUAUUGGAUAAAAGACCUUUCCAACACCCUGAGGUCUGGUCAGAGCAUCAAACCCAGGUAGAAUUCUAUGGAGAAGUUUUCAAGUUGGCAAGAAAGACAGUGGGAAGGGAAGACUCUGGUGUGGUCUCCCAAACUCCUGUUAAAUAGUUACCUGCAUGAGGCCUUGGGACUCUGAGGUCAUUCAGUGACUCCUGAGAGACAGUUCUGUGUGGAUUGACUAUAAAUCACAAAUUAUUUCAAUCCUGAGAAGAUGAGGACAAUGAACAAACCGUGUACAAGUUUCCAGUGUCCUACUGUUCAAUUUAGUGGGGAGAAGGGGAUGGGUCUGAAUCUACAAACCUUCCAUGUCUACACAUGUCCCUUAGGCCAUAAGAGGCCAGUCACUAAGGAGCUUUAAGACUUUGAGCACGUGGAAUUCUCUGGAAGAUUAUCCUGUGUCUACCAUAUAGUUUCCCUGACUCUGGGUAUGCACAACAAUAUUAGGGGCUGAAUGCUCAGGCCUCUAUGCUCCUCUACCUUAUCCACCUGCACACACACAUGCACACUCAUGCAUCUUUGUCUGGGCUAGGAAGGAGCAGCCCAGGGUUCCCUUAGCCUUCGGUCUCUCCUCUACACCCUCAGAGAGGUGGGUCCAGGAAUCAGAGUGAAAGAAUCCGAUCCCUGUGAAAGGAGGCAGAGGUGCUGCAGAACAUUAACCAGCCAGACUUUCUCUGUGUGGAAAACAGAACUGAGAGGAGAUGGAUGGGUCUGUGGUGCUGGCCCUUCAGGACACUUCCCUCUCAACUGGUGUUGGACUGACGAUACCUGUAAAGAACUGACUAACCUGUCUGCCUCUGAAUUUGCUUGGCUUUGGACAUCUCUACUGCUCAAAGCAGAAACUGAGGCUCCUAGUGUCUGGGAACCAAAGCAGUGUGGCCCAGCAUGUGACACCAACCCCAGGACCUUGUACACCAAGGAAAUAGGGGAAGAAACCAGGUGCUGAGACAGAGGAUCAGAUCUGCUUCUCUGUGGCCUUAGGGUAGAGUUAACCCCUCAGGUCUACUCUGUAGGUUCCCAUUCAUUCCUCAUGCAUAGCAGCAGAAGGGACACUGACAAGCACAUCAGAGAGGGAAUUGCUUGAAAUAGAUUCUGGGCGGGAAGACCCAGUAUUUUUUUUCUGCAAAUUGUCCAAUCUGCAGGUGUUCCAAAGACAGAGGCCUGUAAGAGGCUGGAGGAGAUGCUGAAUCCCUGCGAAGUGUCCUAAUCAGUAUGCCAGGCGCUCCACCAGGACCCUGAGGCACUGUGCCCAGCGCUGUGACGGAGGGAAAACAAACGAAGCGUGUCAUCUAUGUCCCCGUGGAGCCAAGAGCUGUAAAAGAACAGCAACCCCAACUGUAUCUUCAUGAUGCAUCUGAGGAGAACGGGCCGUCUCAGUCUCUGAUGUCAGGCAGGAAACGGCUCAGAGCCCAACCCACCAUCGGAGUUGCUGUGAACUACUAGAAUAUGAGGGUCUUGGCCUCUGGCCAUGAAGCUGAGGACUGUUGGUCCUGUCCUUUGGAAACAGCCAUUUGGAACUAGCCUCUCCAAAGCCAACUUGUUGCUAUGUGUGAAAUUUUCCAGGAAGUGAGCCACUUCAUGCUUUUAACCCCCAAGGAAGUUGAUAGGUUUUGCAUUCCACUCCCCGAAAGAUUCAAGAUACUGAAGAGUCAAGAAGGAAAAAGGCACUCAGGAAGGAAAAACCUUCAAAGAGGAGGAGAUAUUUCAGUGGGCUUUUGACAGUUCCAGAUGUACUGUUGUGUCAAGAGAAAUGCUGCCACUCAUCUGAGGUCCUUCUCUUCUGCAAGAAAACUGAUACAUACCUCUAAAGCCAAGAAAUAUCCUGCAGGUCCAGCUGCACCUGCACCAGGGAACUUCUCACCCUUUCAGCAGGUGGACAGGAAGCCCCAGGGGUAGAGACAUGCUCAGUGAAGCGAGUGACCUACAAUUUGAGGAUGGUGGCAAUCCCAGGCACCCCUGUUGCAUAACACUCCUCUGAGAGCCAGGCCCACAUGGGACUCACCUAAACAGGCACAAGACACGGCCUUCCUGCCAACCUGCACUUCCUCUGCAGGCAGCUCAAGAGACUUCCAAGUAGAAGGAAUCAUGCAGGAUGUAUUUCUCUGUGCCUGGCGUCUUCCAUGCAACAUCAUGUUUUUCAUCCCAAUCAUCUGGUGGGUAUCACGUUUCCAUUCUUUUUAUUACUACAUAAGUAUUCCACUGUGUGAAUAUGCGAGUUUGUUUAUCCGUUUACCUAUGGAUGACCAUGUCUACACAAGUCUGUUCAUGAGCACGUGUUUUUGUUUGUCUUGGUAAAUAUCUAGGAUUGAGACUACUGGCUUUUCUAUGGUUAGUGUAUAUUUAACUUUUAAGAAACCACCCGUUUCCAGAGUGAUGAUACCAUUUUACAUACCUACCAGCAAUAUGCUAAAGUUCUCAUUUAUUUUUCUGUUGUUGUUUUCUGUGGGGUUUUUUUUGUUUGGGUUUUAGGGUUUUUGUUUGGUUGGUCGGUUGGUUGUUCUUUGGGGUAUUUUAGAGAGACCGAGAGGGGCAGAGGGAGAGGGGCAGAGAGAAUCCCAAGCAGGCUCCAAGCCCAGCACAGAGCCUGAUGCAGAGCUCCGUCCUACAAACCGUGCGCUCAUGACCUGAAAUCAAGAAUUGGACGUGUAACCGACCGAGCUAGCUAGGAACCCUGAAAAGUUAGUUCUAAAUUCUUUACAUCUUCACCCACACUUAGCACUGUCUUUUUAUGAUUUAGCCAUUGCAGUGUGUGUGAAGUGAUAUUCCCACUGUGGUUUUAAUC